This 1154-nucleotide long non-coding RNA is filed under the name Rosa chinensis. RNAcentral's name for it is "sRNA RchiOBHm_Chr2g0148871". Lineage: Eukaryota; Viridiplantae; Streptophyta; Magnoliopsida; Rosales; Rosaceae. The record is from RNAcentral.
GGCAGCCCCUUUGGGCUGCUCUCUUUUCUCAUUCUCUUCUCCUAUCCUCUCCUCCUCUCUUUUCAUUUUCUUUAGUUUCUUUAGUUUUAUUUUGAGAAUUUUGAAAGACUCACUCAAGGCUUUAAGGGAAUCAUCAUCAAGAGUACCACACCUCUAUUUUGGGUAGUUGGGUGAAGAAAUUGUUUGGUUCAUACUAGCUCAUAACUAGAAAUGACCAAGCUAACUCUCCCCUCUCUUCCUUAUUAUCUAUUCCAUAAUUUUAUUUUCUAUUGAUGAUGUAUUUAACUAUGGAUAGUGAGUAGUUCAAUUUUGGGAGUUAGGGUUGUGAACCCCUAACUCAUCUUGUAUAAAUAUUGAUGCUUUAAUUUUAAUAAAUGCAAUUUCCAUUGUGCUUUGUCACCAUUUGAAAUUAUGUUGUGGGCAAUUGUGAUGAAUAGAUUGAUAAAUUGACAACUUAUUGGUCUUGUUGCAUCUAGAAUUUAAGUGUGGUAACCAUUAGCUAGCUUAAUUGUAGCUAAGCUUGCUUGGGUCUCUAUUAUCUUGCACUCUAGGCCUCUAAUUUUAGAUAUUGCGGCCUUAACCGGCGUAAUGCCUAAAUUAGAGAGUUGAUUGUGGCCCUAACCGGCAUAAUCGAUACACCGAAAGGAUAAUUGGUUUAGUAGCCUUGACCGGUACUAGAUACGGGACUUGACACAUAUAGGAAAUGCAUGCAUUUGUGAAAUUGACAUUGAUAUUUGCAUGAGAGUUAGUGUGAAUCACCCGACGCUCCCAUAUUCCCAUUAAUUUGAAAACCCAAAUUUAAUUUUCUAGUUCGUUAAUUAGUUGUUUAGUUUACUUUUCGGUUGCGUUUAAUUUAGCUGAUUCCCAAUUCAAAACCCCCUACAAAUUUCGACUCAUUUGUGCAUAUCCACCGCUAGGCUCUUAGUUUUGAUUAGGCUUUGGUGAAAACCAAAGCCGAGCAUUGCUAAGGCUUGGUGCCUUAGAUUAGCCUUUUUAUUCACUUUAUUUUUAUUUUGUUUGCUUAGUGACUUUAGUUCCGACCACCCAAGGAUUGUGGGUUAGCCACUAAUCCCCGUGGUACGAUAAUCUUUGGGCUCAAUAUUUCCCUUACUUGACAACGAUUCGUACGCUUGCGAAAGUUUAUGAGUCAAGUC